RNAcentral lists this small nuclear RNA (131 nucleotides) under Chelonoidis abingdonii (Abingdon island giant tortoise). Its description in RNAcentral is "U4 spliceosomal RNA (ENSCABG00000001072.1)". It matches the Rfam family "U4 spliceosomal RNA". Rfam says of the family: U4 small nuclear RNA (U4 snRNA) is a component of the major U2-dependent spliceosome. The structure of U4 snRNA from yeast and human has been reported. The record is from Rfam by way of RNAcentral. Lineage: Eukaryota; Metazoa; Chordata; Testudines; Testudinidae.
UUAGAAGCGCAGUGGCAGUAUCAUAACCAAUGAAGUUAAUCUGAGGUGUGAUUAUUGCUAGUUGAAAAUUUUUUUCCAGCUAUUUGGCCCGUCCUAAUAGUGAGGUACAUUUUUAAAUGUCGUAAAUAUGA